GAGAGUGAAACUCGGGGGCAGAGUGUGUGCUUAGCAGGCAUGAGGCCCUGGGUUCAAUCCUCAGCACCCCCA
This 72-nucleotide transfer RNA is filed under the name Cavia porcellus (domestic guinea pig). It matches the Rfam family "tRNA". From Rfam's summary of the family: Transfer RNA (tRNA) molecules are approximately 80 nucleotides in length. The record is from Rfam by way of RNAcentral. Lineage: Eukaryota; Metazoa; Chordata; Mammalia; Rodentia; Caviidae.